This 76-nucleotide transfer RNA is filed under the name Paraflavitalea soli. RNAcentral's name for it is "tRNA-Ile". It matches the Rfam family "tRNA". From Rfam's summary of the family: Transfer RNA (tRNA) molecules are approximately 80 nucleotides in length. Lineage: Bacteria; Pseudomonadati; Bacteroidota; Chitinophagia; Chitinophagales; Chitinophagaceae. The record is from RNAcentral.
UGGCUUGUAGCUCAACGGUGAGAGCAGCUGCCUUAUACGCAGAAGGUUGUGAGUUCGAUCCUCGCCAGGCCAACCC